RNAcentral lists this ribosomal RNA (468 nucleotides) under uncultured bacterium. Its description in RNAcentral is "partial 16S ribosomal RNA". It matches the Rfam family "Bacterial small subunit ribosomal RNA", at positions 28 to 507 of the family's 1533-position model. The record is from RNAcentral.
GACGAACGCUGGCGGCGUGCUUAACACAUGCAAGUCGAACGGAAAGGCCCUGCUUUUGUGGGGUGCUCGAGUGGCGAACGGGUGAGUAACACGUGAGUAACCUGCCCUUGACUUUGGGAUAACUUCAGGAAACUGGGGCUAAUACCGGAUAGUAGCUCCUGCUGCAUGGUGGGGGUUGGAAAGUUUCGGCGGUGGGGGAUGGACUCGCGGCUUAUCAGCUUGUUGGUGGGGUAGUGGCUUACGAAGGCUUUGACGGGUAGCCGGCCUGAGAGGGUGACCGGCCACAUUGGGACUGAGAUACGGCCCAGACUCCUACGGGAGGCAGCAGUGGGGAAUAUUGCACAAUGGGCGGAAGCCUGAUGCAGCAACGCCGCGUGCGGGAUGACGGCCUUCGGGUUGUAAACCGCUUUCGCCUGUGACGAAGCGUUAGUGACGGUAAUGGGUAAAGAAGCACCGGCUAACUACGUG